GAUGAACGCUGGCGGCGUGCCUAAUACAUGCAAGUCGAGCGAACGGACGAGAAGCUUGCUUCUCUGAUGUUAGCGGCGGACGGGUGAGUAACACGUGGCUAACCUACCUAUAAGACUGGGAUAACUUCGGGAAACCGGAGCUAAUACCGGAUAAUAUUUUGAACCGCAUGGUUCAAAAGUGAAAGACGGUCUUGCUGUCACUUAUAGAUGGAUCCGCGCUGCAUUAGCUAGUUGGUAAGGUAACGGCUUACCAAGGCAACGAUGCAUAGCCGACCUGAGAGGGUGAUCGGCCACACUGGAACUGAGACACGGUCCAGACUCCUACGGGAGGCAGCAGUAGGGAAUCUUGCGCAAUGGGCGAAAGCCUGACGGAGCAACGCCGCGUGAGUGAUGAAGGUCUUCGGAUCGUAAAGCUCUGUUAUUAGGGAAGAACAUAUGUGUAAGUAACUGUGCACAUCUUGACGUUACCUAAUCAGAAAGCAACGGCUAACUACGUG
This 497-nucleotide ribosomal RNA is filed under the name uncultured bacterium. RNAcentral's name for it is "partial 16S ribosomal RNA". It matches the Rfam family "Bacterial small subunit ribosomal RNA", at positions 28 to 507 of the family's 1533-position model. The record is from RNAcentral.